UACCUCCUGAAUAAGGAGAUUGCAUAGAAGAUGAGGUGUGGGUCAUUUUAAUUUGGGGAAACUUGUCAUACGCGUUUUGGUUUAUCGAACAACUUUCGUCACAAGCUAUAUAAGGUUAUGGGUUAGAUUUUGAGUUGUUUGAGUUCAAACAUGUCAUGCAAUAUUUUAUAUAAACUGAAAUUCUGAUAUCAUGGUGCCAUGAUACGAGUAUGAAGUAAAACUGAUCUAUCACUAGUUCACUACAGAUCGAUCAUAGCUGCUUAUGUCCAAGACAAUUAAACAAGAUAUACAUCUACAGAAACACUCUAUCUUGUUUGAGGAAUGCAAAUUACAUUUCUAUAUAUACUAGAAAGCCAAUAUGCAGAAGUUCAUGUAUAUCCUACGUAGAAAGGUUAGCUGGUUGAAUAAACCAAGUACUCAUCCUAUCUAGAGGUGGAGGCGGCAGAAGUGCCAGUAGCUGCCGGGUUUCAAGCAUUUGUGCCAUUGGCUGCGCCUGCUGAUGUAUUUGCCUUGAUGCCACGGGCGGCAGCUGCCCUCCUUAAAGCUUCGGGGCUACCUAACAUACAAGAAUCCUUGAGAACAGCUCUUGCUUUCCAGUCGACACCAGGCACACCAGGGUGAGGUCUAUCCUCACCACAACACAGACAGAGUAUUUCAGCAAAAGGGCCAACAGUUGCACCCACUGGAAGUUCAAUCUGGUAUGGGCAUGCUGAAGAGCAGUAGUCUUUCGACAAACAAACAUGACAAUACCGGUCAUCAGGGUGGAAAGCCCUAAAUGUUCCACCCUUGAGUCUUGCUUCUUUUAGCCAUUCCUUGAGCUCAGGAGUGAGGUUGGGGCACUGAAAGGUCGGGUGCCAAUCUGGAUUAGGACACAUCUUACAAGCCAAAGCAAAUUCACCUAUUUUAAUGUAAUUAGCCAAUGCUGGUCCUUCCGCCUUUUCCCCUUUCACUUUUGUUUUCUCAUUCUCCUUCAUAUAAUCUUCGGGGGCCACAAUAACCAUAUCUCUGUUUGGAUCAUCUUUGGGUAGAUCUUGCCAACGGAGGAUGACCGGCUUAUCAUCUUUGGGUAAAUCUUUCCAACGGCGGAUGACCGGCGGCGCAAAUGGCGGUUCUUUAGCUUUCUUGACCUUCCCGGAUGAUCUCCCCAUGGCUGUGUGCAGUUAGGAUUCGGCUUCGCUCUUAAACUUUCUUUCUCAGAUCCUUCUCAAAGUAAUGGUUUGGUAAUACUAUGUGAGAUAUGUAUAGAGAUGCUAACAUAAUCCUAAUAGGAAAAGAUCCAGAGAUACUAACAUAAUCCUAAUAGGAAAAGGAAAAGAUCUCCUACGUACAAUUCUACAUAAUAUAUAUCCUACACACACAAGGAAAGUAAGUACAUAAUAUAUAUCCUCUACACACAAGGAAAGUAAGUAUAUACAAUAUAUUUUACACUCACCCUCAGUGUCAUCGUCGACAGUUGACGGAGGUGAGAAAUCCGACUAGGUCGGAUUAUCCAGAUACGGUUGGGUCAAACGGGUUUCGUCUACACCGGAAGGUAAAAAGAAUUUAAUUAUCAUAGGUAAUUUUCGCAAAGUUUGGUGUGAUGCAAGUUUUUUUCAUGGUUUAUUAGAGGUCAAUAAACUGAUUAUUAGAGGUCGUUAACCUAAUUAAUAGGGGUCCAAAAGCAUGAAUAAAGUUUAUUGAACAUGAAUAAAGCCUUCACCGAGGAUCCAGUUAGGUUCCAGCGAAAUUAUUGAUGCGGCUCAAAGCCUCUCUGGACUCAAACACACAAGACAACAUGAGAAGAAGAUAGUGAUGCCCUGGCGGCUGCCAAUACUUAUAAUAUAUGAAUGAUCAAAAGACCCCUUACAAGAGCCAAUACAUCUUUUAAAUAGAGAACAAAACCUAGCUAGUCCUUAAAAGGAAGUAAGCAACAACAUUAAAACUACCACAACUUAAUAGGUACGUAAAUAACCAAAGCAUAAUAUAAUAAGGAAUCAUCUUUUGGACCAAACCUAGUCCUUAAGAUACUCUGGCGCCUGUGCAUUCCUCUUGGCCCUUGGUUCAUCACCAGGCAUAGCUCCCGCAUCAAUUAUGGUGACGACCGGAGAAAUUUCGGCAACCGAAGAAAGUUCUGGCAAAAUCUUCACUCUUCCACUUUUUCUCUCCAUAUACAUGUUUAAUAGGUAAGGGUCAAAUAACCUCAUCAAAAUAAACAAAAGAAUAAUUUUUCUUUUUUGACUAGUUAAAAAUUGUUGAUUUUGUUUGAGCCCAACAGAUAUUUUGGUCCAUGACUAGAUUAAUAAAGUCUUGGAUAUCAUUUGGGUCAAUACAUGUGGCUCUAGAAAUAAAGCCUUUUUGGAUAUGAACCCUAGAGACACGCGAGAGGUGGGUUCCUAAGCGAACUGUAACACUUCGCGGGAUAAGGAAGUCUUCAGUGUUUGAGUCCGCCUCGGAGAAUGAGAAGUUUUCAAUAAGCGAAGGGUCAGUACAUGUGACCUAAGCGAAGUCUACCUAUGUAAUUGGACAGGCGUCACCCAGUUACUUAGUUUGCAAGCAAAACGAAUCCUUGUAUAACUUUGGUAGCAGAAUCCUACUUAGGUUGUGGGAUUGCAUCCUUAUCAGUUAAUUACAAGCCCCUAUAUAAGGAGGGUUCGAGGAUCAGUCCAAACACAUAAUCAUCUCAUACAAACAACUACAAACCUUCGAUCUAAUCGAAACCGAGACGCUAAAGCACCUCGCCUUAGCCUUACAGAGCUCGUUUGGUCUCGCCUUGCUUACUAUCCCAAUUGUUGCUCUGCUCGCCCGCCGAGUAUUGAUCGAUUGCAAACGGAUAAGAGGAUUGCUUGUAAUCCUCGUCCGCAAGGUGGCACCGGAAGCCCCUGUCGUUUGAUUAGAAGUCUAGUACCGGUGCACUUUGCAUUCCGCGUCCGCAUGGUGGCACGCCCCACACCCUUCCUUUUAUAUUUGGACUUGCCAAGUUACCCCUCUACCCCUGCUGAGGAUCGUGGCCAAAACAUAUUUAGGCACAAAUAAAGUUAGAUUACAUUCAAAUGAGAUGAAUUUUAUAGUGUCAUUAUUUUUGAAUCAAGAAAAAUAUCAUUGAUGACUACCAAAGCAGUAGGAGUACAAAUGUAGAGUUACAAGCAAAUCAACAACUAAAGUAAAAUUCUUGCGUACAUAUAUAGGGCAAAUAAGAAUAAAGUGAUUUGCAAGGGACCACAUCCUCGUUACACAAUUCAUGCUCACCUAACUAAGCAAGCCUAUAGUAGGCAAAAAACUUACAGGAAAAUCAAUAACUAAACUGAAAUUCAACCAUGCCACAUAGGGCAGAUUUAUUUGCAAAAGUAAAUAUAACGAGAAAUUUUUAGAUGCUACAGGAGGAUCACGUGACAGUAUGAUGUGGUCCUACAAUCCAAUCAAAUAUUGACAUGUGGAUUUAUUACAACUAAAAUAUAAACUAAGGUUUUCUAUUUUUUGUGAAAUGACCUUCAUGGGUCUUUGUUGAGUUUGGACUUUGUUGAUUUUGGACUAGGAUUUAGGGGUUAGGGUUUAGGGGUUAGGGUUUAGGGUUUAGGGUUGAAGGUUUAGAGUUAAAGGUCUAGGGUUUAGAGUUUAUGGUUUAGGGUUUAAAAAGCAACAACAAACCCAAAAUUGUCUUUGAUAAAAUAGCUGAUCUAAUUUUUCCGUAAUAAAAUCUAUGUGUUAAUAUUUGAUUGGAAUGUAGGAACACGUCAUACUGCCACAUAGUCCUCCCGUAACGCUAAAAAAUUUCUCAUAAUAUAACCUAUUAUUUAUGGAAAAUAGAGCAUAGCUAUUUAUUCUAAGAAUAAUAAAAGCCAUGAGUCUAAACUCAGAUUUUCUCCUUUGCCCUUAGAAGUAGGACAAGGAGGUGCAGGCACUGAAACAAACUCGAGUGGAGGUACCUCUGAUUGUCCGACUUCUUAUCCUUGCUUUCAAUCGGACGGCCAGUCUUUCUUUUCCUCACAUAGGUCACUGGACCUUCCACUGGGACAUCUACCAGCUCACCAAUGUGAAAGAGAAAAGUUCCCAAUCCGGCCCAAAAACCCCCCCGAUCAAUUGAUUUUUUGAAGAAGAUUUGGGCCCAGCAGCCAGCCCUUUAGAAACCAAGUCCAACCCAGCAGAAAAAUGCAUCCCCACCUCCGGCCCAUGAUCCUCAGGCCCAGUCAAUGCCAAAUCCUGAUUCUCAGCGGUCAACCCUAAUUUGAGAUUAGGUUUCCCGCCGAAGAAUCCGAGCAUAGCUCGACUUCCUCUGGCGCUGCCGUUUGACCCGUUUCGAUGUCGUCCAUCCUCACCUCAGAUCUUGCCGCAUUCCUCCCAGGUUCAUCGACCUCCAACACCUCCUCAUCUCCGAGUUCAUAUCCAACACCACUAAAGGCAGAGUUGCCAUGACAGCAACCUCCAAACCCUUAUCACACACACCGCCGCCAUGUCCAAAGAAACCACAUGCCCCGCAGACGCCGUGACAUUUCUCAAAGCGAAACUCCAAGUUCGGCGCCUCCAAAUUCACCGACGAACAUCAUGGAUUAGGAGGAUCUUUUGGAUGUGCUCCUUACGCAGAAGGGCACCUUGCUCCGCCCUAACGAACUGCCCCAACGCGUUUCCAAUUCGGGUUAGUCACAUAUCAUUUGGUUGGUCACUACAAGCGAAACGAGGUCUUGGUCUAUGGAAACGAAUAUUUAUCUCCUUACGUUAUCUUGUUUAUCUGUUGUUACCCCGAUAACAGGUUCCGUCAACAGCAUUACAAUCCCCAGAGAAAGAAAAAUGUGACGUUGGUUUCUGGUCAACCUAAAAGCAAACUAACGGAGUAACAACUCUUUAUCGUUAACGGAUCAAAUCAUCAAUCCAAACUCAUCCAGACUAGAACUAGAACAGAACCGCAAAGCAUUUUGGUCCAAAGAAGAUCACCAAAGCGACAUACGCAAACCGUGUAUGAGGAUGAGCACCUGCUGCAUCAGACUAAUCAAAAGAAAUGGGACGACAGAGAUGAUAAGAGCAAACUGAACUAUAUAGCAUCCAACCAACUACACAUCAUAUCUGCAUUUGUCCUAGACAAUUAAACAAGGAUAUACAUCAAUAUAAUAACUCUAACUUGUUUGUUCCGAAUUACAUUUCUAUUCCAGAGAGCCCAUCUGCAAAGGUACAGGCAAAUCAGACUCUAAUGUAUCCUACGCAGAAAGGCUGGUUGAAGAAACCAAGUACUCAUCAGAUGUGGAGGUGGAGGUGGCAGUGCCAGCAGUUGUGGCUUUUGAAGCACUUGCCUUCAGGACAGUGCCACUGGCUGCUGCAGAUGUAUUUGCCUUGAUGCCGCGGGCGGCAGCUGCCCUUCUUAAAGCUUCAGGGCUACCUAACAUACAAGAAUCCUUGAGAACAACUCUUGCUUUCCAGUCGACACCAGGCACACCAGGGUGAGGUCUAUCCUCACCACAACACAGACAGAGUAUUUCAGCAAAAGGGCCAAUUGUUGCACCUACUGGAAGUUCAAUCUGGUACGGGCAUGCUGAAGACCAGUGGUCUUUCGACAAACAAACGUGACAAUACCGGUCAUCAGGGUGGAAAGCCCUAAAUGUUCCACCUUUGAGUCUUGCUUCUUUUAGCCAUUCCUUGAGCUCUGUGGUAAAAAUGAAAAGUUAGCGGUGACCACAUGACAACAAACAAUACAUAAUUCAUGCAUCAGUAAUUAUCCUAAUAAGAAGAUAAAAAAUGAACCAUAUCGUUGAUAAAACUAAAAAUCAAGAGACUGCAGAUUAAAUGGGAAGGCAUAGUUGACCCAAACAACAUUGGUAACGCAAGGGACUGGAGGUGUGAGGUGAGGUGUAAGUACGCACAGCUAGAUUCUUCCUUGCCACACAAACUCACAUCCAUGAAUGAAGUUAUGAAAACAUAUAUGAUAUAUCAGAACACAAUGCUAGAAAGAAUAUAUUAAGGAUUUAAGGUAAGUUAUACUUUACGAAAUUGUUUAAUAAACAUUCUACAGCUAAUAGAAUUUGAAUCAAAGCUCAACGUGUUCAGAUAGCGGAGCUUGCAUAGCUAACCCGAGGAAUAUUCCCAAAAACUAAACAAACAUUUGUCCAGAAUAAACUCAUUGAAAGGAUUCAAAAUAAAGAAGAGAGAAUUCCGAAACACACAAACAGCAGGCAGCAAGCAAAGUAAAAUUUAAUUACAUUAUCAAAAAUGAAAAGCAGAGUACAUACCAGGAGUGAGGUUGGGGCACUGAAAGGUCGGGUGCCAAUCUGGAUUAGGACACAUCUUACAGGCCAGAGCAAAAUCACCUAUUUGAUGUAAUUAGCCAAUGGUUUUUCACUCUCCUUCUCUGUUAAAUAAUCAGUAAAGAAAUCAAACUAUGGCGCCUGCAAGAUCUA
This 6359-nucleotide long non-coding RNA is filed under the name Fragaria vesca (wild strawberry). RNAcentral describes it as "long non-coding RNA (FVES_LNC001435)". Lineage: Eukaryota; Viridiplantae; Streptophyta; Magnoliopsida; Rosales; Rosaceae. The record is from RNAcentral.